GUUUGAGGGCCAGAAUCUAAUUUUUGGAGCUUUUUCUAAUGCCGGGAGCUGACUGAGUGAUAAAAUGCAUAUUAAGAAUAAGGCGGCCUUCUGGCCCCUCUGGGUCUAGGGCAGUAAAGCAUCUAAGGGUUUCUGCUAAUGGGCCAGGAACUGCGCUGGGUUUUUAUAUUUGAUGAAAAAGAGCCUAAAUGCUAGCUGAUUUGGAAGAGGUCGGAUAAAGAAAAAAGAAGCAUUAAUCUUGACUAUGCCUUUAGCUCCAGCCACCUCUUUAAGAGGAAAUUGUUGGGCAGGUGGGGGAGGGCUAGUCGUGGAACGAAACCAUAAGCCAGGCCAGGUGUGAGGAGGGGAGGUGAUAAAAGGAUUAUAGGGAGGGGGAACAGAGGCUGAGGAAAAAUUGGGACCUGGCUUGGCCUGGCAAGGAGCAGCCUGGGGAAGAGGGGAGAGGUCAGAUGGGUCCGUAGAAAAGGAAGAUUCAAAAGACUCAGAGACGUUUGGGGUUGGGACUGAAGGAACAGACAGGAGAGAAAGAAAGAUUUGGGAUGAGUCUCACUGGGAGCAGAGACUAGGGAGGGACCAAUCUGUAAAAGAAUGCUUGGAUGUCAGCCACCUCAGACCAUUUGCCCAUUUUUUGACAAAAAUUAUCUAGGUCUCGUAGGAUGGAGAAAUCAAAAGUGCUGUUUUCUGGCCAUUUAGAACCAUUGUUGAGUUUGUAUUGGGGCCAAGCGGUGUUGCAGAAGAAAAUAAGGUGCUUAGAUUUUGGGUCAGGCGAGAGUCAAAGAGGUUUUAAGUUCUUGAGAACACAGGCUAAGGGAGAAGAAGGAGGAAUGGAGGGUGGAAGGUUGCUCAUAGUGAAGGAGGCAAGUUUAAAGAGAAGGGUAGAGACACGGAGAAGGGGGGUGGGGAAAAGCCCUGGGCAGCAACGUGGGUGAGCAGCCAAAGCAAGUGUCCCCGCAACUGACUUGCCACCAAGGGAAUGUGGGUGAAUGACCAAGGCAGGCAUCCCCGCCGAGAUCAGACACCAAUGGAACGUGGGUGAAUACUCAGAGAGGCGUCCCCGCAAUGAUUAAACACCAAGGGAAGGCUGCCUCCCCAAGUCCCUGACUGGCCCUGGAGUUUUGGGUCGGCACCAAAUGUCUCACGUGUCCGUGUGAAGAGACCACCAAACAGGCUUUGUGUGAGCAACAAGGCUGUUUAUUUCACCUGGGUGCAGGCGGGCUGAGUCUGAAAAAGAGAGCAAAGGGUGGUGGAAUUAUCAUUGGUUCUUAUAGGUUUUGGGAUAGGCAGUGGAGUUAAGAGCAAUGUUUUGGGGGCAGGGGGUGGAUAUCACAAAGUACAUUCUCAAGGGUGGGGAGAACUACCAAGAAACUUCUUAAGGGUGGGGGAGAUUAUAAAGAACCUUCUUAAAGGUGGGGGAGGUUACAAAGUACACUGAUCAGUUAGGGUGGGGCAGAAACAAAUCACAAUGGUGGAAUGUCAAUCAGCUAAGGCUAUUUUCACUUCUGUGGAUCUUCAGUUGCUUCAGGCCAUCUGGAUGUAUAUGUGCAGGUCACUGGGGAUAUGAUGGCUUAGCUUGGGCUCAGAGGCCUGACAGUUGUAGAUGUGUGGUGUUAUUUCUGAGGUCUCUCUUCUGUUCCAUUGGUCUAUAUCUCUGUUUUGGUACCAGUACCAUGCUGUUAUCAUUACUGUAGACUUGUAGUAUAGUUUGAAGUCAGGUAGUGUGAUGCCUCCAGCUUUGUUCUUUUGGCUUAGGAUUGUCUUGGCAAUGCAGGCUCGUGUUUGGUUCUAUAUGCAAUUUAAAGUAGUUUUUUCCAAUUCUGUGAAGAAAGUCAUAUUGGUAGCUUGAUGGGGAUGGCAUUGAAUCUAUAAAUUACCUUGGGCAGCAUGGCCAUUUUCACGAUAUUGAUUCUUCUUAUCCAUGAGCAUGGAAGGUUCUUCCAUUUAUUUGUGUCCUCUUUUAUUUCACUGAGCAGUGGUUUGUAGUUCUCCUUGAAGAGGUCCUUCAAAUCCCUUGUAAGUUGGAUUCCUAGGUAUUUUAUUCUCUUUGAAGCAAUUGUGAAUGGGAGUUCACUCAUGAUUUGGCUCUCUGUUUGUCUGUUAUUCGUGUAUAGGAAUGCUUGUGAUUUUGGCACAUUGAUUUUGUAUCCUGAGACUUUGCUGAAGUUGCUUAUCAGCUUAAGGAGUUUUUGGGCUGAGACAAUGGGGUUUUCUAAAUAUACAAUCAUGUCAUCUGCAAACAGGCAUUCUUUAUCACACGAUGAGAUAGGAGGUUGACACAAAGACCCUGCUGAUAAAACAGAAUGUGGUAAAGAAGUCAAACAAAAUCCACCAAAACCAAGAUGGUACUUAAAGUGACCUCCGGUCGUCCUCACUGCUCAUUACAUGCUAAUUAUAAUUCAUUAGCAUGCUAACAGAUACUCCUACCAGUGCCAAAACAGUUUACAAAUGCCAUAGGGACAUCCGAAAGUUACCCUAAAUGGCCUAAAAGGGGGAGUCGCCCUCUGUUCUGGGAAAUCCUUGUCCCUUCCCUGGAAAACUGAUGACUAAUUCACUCCUUGUUUAGCAUACGAUCGAGAAAUAACCAUAAAAGUAGCCAGCCGGCAGGGCUGCUGUCAAUGGAGUAGCCAUUCUUUUAUUUCUUUACUUCUCUAAUAAACUUUAACUUUACUCUGUGGACUUGCCCUGAAUUCUUUCUUGUGCAAGAUCCAGGAACCUUCUCUGGGGGUCUGGAUUGGGACCCCUUUCCAGUAACCAAAGUGACAAGUGUUUAUUGUAUUUUUUAUUUCAUUUCCAAGGAUACUAUUCCAUCUGGUGGGAGAGUGCCAAUGUACGUUUCUUCAUUUACUUAGUACGUUCUGCAUGGAGAACUAAGUUAACUGUCACCCAAUUUUUAGUUAAUUCCAGUGAUCUUUUAGUAGCCCUAUUUGGGGUGAUCUUAACUCCAGCUGUGGCCCUAGGCCACAGAAAUUUUCAUUUUGAAACUUUGGUGUAUAUUCUUUUAGCUUUGUGUGUGUGUGUGUGUACACACACACGUGUAUAUAUAUAUAUGUAUACGUAUAUAGGUAUGUAUAUAUAAAAUAAAUAAACACAAAAAGGAUAAUGUUGUA
RNAcentral lists this long non-coding RNA (3104 nucleotides) under Homo sapiens (human). Its description in RNAcentral is "HSALNT0342517". The record is from RNAcentral. Lineage: Eukaryota; Metazoa; Chordata; Mammalia; Primates; Hominidae.